AUGCAUGAUCUAUUGAGAUCACUCGGACAAUAUUUGACAAAGGAUCACUCCCUGUGCAUGAAUGUGGAAAGAAUUGAUGCUAUGUCGAAUCUCCGCCGCUUGGGUAUCAGUCAUGCUGUAGAAGAAAUACCCAAUCUAGAAGAGCACAAGUGCUUGAGGAGCCUCCUACUUUUUAAUAACAAGAAUUUCAAAUCAAUGCACAGGGAUAUUUUCAGAAAGCUUGAGCAUAUCCGUGUCUUGGUUCUCAGUGGGACAAGCAUCAAGGACAUACCGGACUCAGUGGGAAAUUUGGUGUUGUUGAGGUUGCUAGAUCUUAGCUAUACAGAGAUUAACAAACUUCCAGAGUCCACGGGAAGUCUCAUCAGCCUUGAAUACCUCUCUUUGCUUGGUUGCCGUCAAUUGGAUAGCCUGCCAGCUGGUCUGAUGAGACUGUCCAAGAUAAGUUUUUUGCACCUAGAGAAGACUUCAAUUGAUCAUGUUCCCAAAGGGAUCGCAAAGUUUCAGCAGCUCUACAACCUAAGAGGAGUUUUUGAGAGCGGGACUGGAUUCAGAUUGGAUGAAUUGCGAGGCCUCCCCAAUAUUCAACGUCUCUGGGUUAGUAAGCUAGAGAAAGCGAUACCAGGGGGUGAAGUUGUACUGAAGAACAGUCGUAAUCUUAAAGAACUGGGACUACGCUGCACAAUGAACACGGGUAUUCAUGAUAGAACACGCUAUGAGCACGACAAGGUUCAGAAAAUUCAGCAAGUCUACGAUAUGCUCAUCCCAUCGCCAAGCCUAGAAUACAUUUUUCUUGUUGGGUUCCCGGGUACUAUGUUCCCAGAAUGGCUACGAUCGAAACCGGAGCUUAGCAUGCCAAGUUUGCAUCAGAUGCACCUUGAUGAGUGCAUAUCAUGUUCAGAGCUUCCACCAGCAGGUCAGAUGCCACAACUGCAAUUUCUUAAGAUUAAAGGUGCAGAUGCGAUACAGUCCAUUGGCAAAGAACUCCUAGGAAAAGAAGUCGGCAGUCCAGCAGCCUUUUUCCCAAAGCUUGAAGUGCUUCAGGUCAUUGGCAUGUUCAGUUUGAGAAGUUGGUCCCUCAACACUGGGAAUCCCAGCAAUAACUCUCAACAUAUCUCUCUGAUGCCUUGCCUUAAGCGUCUGCUGCUUCUUGAUUGCCCAAAACUGAGAGCUCUCCCUCAAGACAUGUCCAAGAUUGUUAACUUGAAGAGAAUCCACAUUGAAGGUGCUCACAAGCUGCAAGAAGUUGUCGACCUUCCCGCAGUUGUGUGGCUCAAAGUGAAGAACAACACAUGUUUGAAGACAAUCUCCAAUCUCUGUAAGCUUCAGGACUUGCUUGCGCAGGACUGCCCAGCACUGGAUCAGGCAAAGAACCUAUGCUCAUUGAGGCGCUUGUACAUGGUUGACUGCCCGCACGAGCAAGGGUUCAGGAAGUGUCUCUCAGAAGAACAAGGCGUGCUAGUCCAUGUUGCAACGAUUAGCGCAGAUGGCCGGAAUAUCUUCCCGGAUGAAUCUCUCUACAAUUAG
This 1524-nucleotide ribosomal RNA is filed under the name Triticum aestivum (bread wheat). RNAcentral describes it as "partial small subunit ribosomal RNA". Lineage: Eukaryota; Viridiplantae; Streptophyta; Magnoliopsida; Poales; Poaceae. The record is from RNAcentral.